UGGGGAAUAUUGCACAAUGGGCGCAAGCCUGAUGCAGCCAUGCCGCGUGUAUGAAGAAGGCCUUCGGGUUGUAAAGUACUUUCAGUCGGGAGGAAGGUGGUAAGGUUAAUAACCUUAUCAAUUGACGUUACCGACAGAAGAAGCACCGGCUAACUCCGUGCCAGCAGCCGCGGUAAUACGGAGGGUGCAAGCGUUAAUCGGAAUUACUGGGCGUAAAGCGCACGCAGGCGGAUUGUUAAGUCAGAUGUGAAAUCCCCGGGCUCAACCUGGGAAAUGCAUCUGAUACUGGCAAGCUUGGGUCUCGUAGAGGGGGGUAGAAUUCCAGGUGUAGCGGUGAAAUGCGUAGAGAUCUGGAGGAAUACCGGUUGCGAAGGCGGCCCCCUGGACGAAGACUGACGCUCAGGUGAGAAAGCGUGGGGAGCAAACAGG
RNAcentral lists this ribosomal RNA (429 nucleotides) under Chloroflexota bacterium. RNAcentral describes it as "Chloroflexi bacterium partial 16S ribosomal RNA". It matches the Rfam family "Bacterial small subunit ribosomal RNA", at positions 355 to 776 of the family's 1533-position model. The record is from RNAcentral. Lineage: Bacteria; Bacillati; Chloroflexota.